Molecule: ribosomal RNA, 271 nt
Filed under: uncultured bacterium
Lineage: Bacteria
Description: partial 16S ribosomal RNA
Rfam family: Bacterial small subunit ribosomal RNA
Source: RNAcentral
CCGGGUGGCGACCGGCGCACGGGUGAGUAACGCGUAUGCAACUUACCUAUCAGAGGGGGAUAACCCGGCGAAAGUCGGACUAAUACCGCAUGAAGCAGGGGCCCCGCAUGGGGAUAUUUGCUAAAGAUUCAUCGCUGAUAGAUAGGCAUGCGUUCCAUUAGGCAGUUGGCGGGGUAACGGCCCACCAAACCGACGAUGGAUAGGGGUUCUGAGAGGAAGGUCCCCCACAUUGGUACUGAGACACGGACCAAACUCCUACGGAAGGCAGCAG